GCCAGCAGCCGCGGUAAUACAUAAGGAGCAAGCGUUAUCCGGAAUUAUUGGGCGUAAAGAGCUCGUAGGCGGUCUUAAAAGUCAGGUGUGAAAUCAUCAGGCUCAACCUGAUAAGGUCAUCUGAAACUUUAAGACUUGAGGAUAGAAGAGGAAAGUGGAAUUCCCGGUGUAGCGGUGAAAUGCGUAGAUAUCGGGAGGAAUACCAGUGGCGAAGGCGGCUUUCUGGUCUAUUUCUGACGCUGAGGAGCGAAAGCUAGGGGAGCAAACGGGAUUAGAUACCCCGGUAGUCCUAGCUGUAAACGAUGGAUACUAGGUGUGGGAGGUAUCGACCCCUUCUGUGCCGCAGCUAACGCAUUAAGUAUCCCCCCUGGGGAGUACGGGCGCAAGGCUGAAACUCAAAGGAAUUGACCGGGGCC
This 416-nucleotide ribosomal RNA is filed under the name uncultured bacterium. RNAcentral describes it as "bacterial SSU rRNA". It matches the Rfam family "Bacterial small subunit ribosomal RNA", at positions 507 to 921 of the family's 1533-position model. The record is from RNAcentral.